Non-coding RNA from Hydnum rufescens UP504, 81 nucleotides. Lineage: Eukaryota; Fungi; Basidiomycota; Agaricomycetes; Cantharellales; Hydnaceae. The record is from the annotation of a GenBank genome assembly.
GCCCGAAUGGCCCAGUGGUAAAGGCGUCGCUCUUGUAGUACCUAAAAGCGAAGAUCCCGUGUUCAACUCGCGGUUUGGGCA